Ictidomys tridecemlineatus (thirteen-lined ground squirrel) is the source of this 72-nucleotide non-coding RNA. The record is from Rfam. Lineage: Eukaryota; Metazoa; Chordata; Mammalia; Rodentia; Sciuridae.
UGGGUUGUAGCUCAGUGGGGGAGUGCUUGCCUUGCAUGCAUGAGGCACUGAGUUCAGUCCUCAGCAUCACAU